This 25-nucleotide non-coding RNA is filed under the name Rattus norvegicus (Norway rat). The record is from RNAcentral. Lineage: Eukaryota; Metazoa; Chordata; Mammalia; Rodentia; Muridae.
UGACACUGAUCAUGGACAGACACCU